AAUUAGUGGCAGACGGGUGAGUAAUGCAUAGGGACCUACCUAGUAGUAUAGGAUAGCCGCUAGAAGUGGUGGGUAAUACUGUAUAAUCCCUGCGGGGGAAAGAUUUAUCGCUACAUGAUGAGCCUAUGUUAGAUUAGCUAGUUGGUGGGGUAAUGGCCUACCAAGGCAGUGAUCUAUAGCUGGUCUGAGAGGAUGAUCAGCCACACUGGAACUGAGGCACGGUCCAGACUCCUACGGGAGGCAGCAGUGGGGAAUAUUGGACAAUGGGCGCAAGCCUGAUCCAGCUAUGCCGCGUGAGUGAGGAAGGCCUUAGGGUUGUAAAACUCUUUCAGUGGGGAAGAUAAUGACGGUACCCACAGAAGAAGUCCCGGCAAACUCCGUGCCAGCAGCCGCGGUAAUACGGAGGGGGCAAGCGUUGUUCGGAGUUAUUGGGCGUAAAGGGCAUGUAGGUGGUUUGGUUAGUUAAAGGUGAAAUGCCAGGGCUUAACCCUGGAGCUGCUUUUAAUACUGCCAGACUGGAGUCCCGGGGAGA
Molecule: ribosomal RNA, 532 nt
Filed under: Anaplasma bovis
Lineage: Bacteria; Pseudomonadati; Pseudomonadota; Alphaproteobacteria; Rickettsiales; Anaplasmataceae
Description: bacterial SSU rRNA
Rfam family: Bacterial small subunit ribosomal RNA
Source: RNAcentral